CCUGUGAAGAACUAGGAGCAGGAUAGUCAUGAUUAAGCUCUUCUAUCUUCUCUGAAAACUUAGUAACCUGGCACAGAAAUGUGGCUGUAUGAGUAAGUUCUGGAGCCAAUAUGCCCAAAGUAACAGGGCAUCUCUGUAUGGAAGUGUCUUGCACAUACCAGCAAAGUCUGGAGCAGAUACAGGAAUUAAAGCCACAUCCUCAGGGGCAAAAAGUAUCAAGCCUAACCCGUGAGUCUCCUUUUUUUACCAUUCAAUCUGCUACCAUGGGGAGGAUAACUUCACUGAUCGGUCACUGUUGUUCUAACCAGAUAAACAGAAGGUGCCAGUUAUCGUUCACUGGGGCAAAUGACUCCCCAAGAGGUAGUGUAACUCAGAACCAUCUCAUGAUUUCAAACGUAGGAAAAGUUAAACUGAUUUGUAGAUUUUGAGACUAAUUAGUUUUUCUGUGUCAGUGAUUCAUGGCACGGAUCAAACUGCACAGCAUAAUCCAAUUGCCAGCUUUAAUAACGGGUUCACACUGCAUAAAUCUAGCUUCAAAACCAGGGAGACUUCGUCUUCCCUGCCUUGCACUUUAUUUAAUCAUUAUACUAUGGUGGAUUUGCAAAAUGCAAGUCACUAAAGAGUGUAUUAAAGCACUACAGGUCAGGAUAUUGCCCCUUAUUUUAUAGCAUAGUGCAAUUUAAGUGCAGUGCAGAAAACAAACAUCACAACUUUUCUGUGACUACCCAGUCCCACUGCAAGAACAACUUCUAGGACUUUAUCCCCAGCAUGCCUUUCUGCAAACUUACCCUUUAAAUUAGAAGGGAAACAGCAGCUGUGGCCCUAAACCAUCCAUUUUGCAGUUGCUUCUUGCUUUGACUCCUUUCCUUCUAACUGAGAUGCAUCUCCAGAACAUCUUAUGGGAUCAGAUCUGUGCUUUGCUACGUUCCUCUGCCAUACUGAGGCUGGAUAAUAGCAGUCAGUCUGUGGAUCCAUCCUUGAAGGAGAAGACAUGUAUUCUAGGCUUGGAAAUGCUAAUGAUGGAUAAUUCAUGGAUAGGAUGUGAAGGAGGUAUUGAAGCAUGUACUGGACAGGGGAUUAAGCAAGGAGCUCAUGAAUGGUCAAAUCUGCUUUGUUCUGAAGACUAAUAGUGAGAUGGAUACACUUUCCUCCAGCCUUUCAACAUACAGAACUCAAGGCUGAUUCAGAACAGUUUCGUGCCAGAAUAAAUCAGGAGUAAUUCCUUUGAAAUCCUUUGAAUUCCAAUAGUUUUAAACCUAUGAAAGUAAGAGAAGAAACAUGCAAUUGUCUUCAACCAGGGACACAAUACUGCUUAAUAAAUCAUCAUAUCAGCAGCUGCAAAGCACCAGGGAACGGGGCAGUAACUGAUGUUGCUGUCCAGAGAUCCAUGGAGGUUAUUGAUCAUCCUGAGCUGUUAACAUCUCCACAGCUCUGCAGCACAGGGCCUUAGAAGAAAUAAGAAUAUGGAGAGGAUCUGUGACUAUAUGCACUUACCAGCUAAAUAUACAGCAUUACAGACUUUUAUGUUAAUAUUCCUAAAUUCAUCUAUAGGAUUAUGAACACUGUUUUUGUGAAUAUACCCACCUCUGUGUGCAAAACACCACAUUUUCGAAGGAAGACAUGUCUUUUCAUAAGUCAGCAGGUGACUGGACAGUGCUUUAUUAAAAAAAAAAUAAAUUAGCAAUUUUCCAGCCUGUAUAUACCAAAUAUAGGGUUUGUUCAGACAAAGCAGAUCAGCCUGUCAAUAUUCCAGCAAGAGAGAGAGGUUAUAAUGGGCAUAAGGAAUGUAAAACUAAAUAAAUACAAUAUACAAAUAAAAGGGAACUCAGGUCAGGAGAUUGCUUGCUUCAUUUAUAUUUUUAUUUAAAGAGAAAUAUGUGGGACAGAUUCCCGACCCAACCUCAUAAAGCUUUUUAAUACUGCUAUGACCAUGGUUGAGGCAUAAACAAAAGCUACAACUUUACUUGAACCAAACUGUGAAAUGGGUGAUGGCUAUGGGUUUUCCUGAAGUCUUCAGUCAGGCACAUUUGUUGCAUCCAUGAUCCCAAAUGAAGAAAAUUCA
Alligator mississippiensis (American alligator) is the source of this 2062-nucleotide long non-coding RNA. RefSeq lists it as uncharacterized. The transcript is spliced from 4 exons. NCBI's taxonomy places the organism in Eukaryota, Metazoa, Chordata, Crocodylia, Alligatoridae. The record is from RefSeq and is a predicted model, not a curated record.